UCUGCCCCUAGAAGGGUUGCAGGUGUUGCUGUUGUGUCCCAUAGGCAUUAGAAGGUAGUAGAGGGGAGAGAGGCUGUGCUCACACUCAGUGUUCUGAUCUAUGAGCGUCUAAUGUUAGUAGCCUAACAUU
Small nucleolar RNA from Meriones unguiculatus (Mongolian gerbil), 130 nucleotides. The record is from Ensembl. Lineage: Eukaryota; Metazoa; Chordata; Mammalia; Rodentia; Muridae.